GUUCAUCAGCAGAAAUCGUCCUGACUCAGACUCCUAAAGCUCAGUCUGUUGUUCCAGGACAGACUGUCUCUGUCAGAUGUAAAUCCAGUACAUCUAUAGGUGAUGACAUUGACUGGUACCUUCAGAAAUCUGGAAAAGCUCCUAAACUCCUGAUCUAUGAUACUACAGCUCGUCAGUCUGGAGUUCCAGAUCGUUUUCGGGCAACAGCAGUUCAGACUGACUUCACUCUGAUCAUCAGUGGAGUUCAAACUGAAGAUGCAGGAGUUUAUUACUGUCAGCAGCGUAACAGCCGCCCGUUCACACAGUGAUACAACACCGUACAAAAACCUCA
This is a non-coding RNA of Pundamilia nyererei, 331 nucleotides long. The record is from the annotation of a RefSeq genome assembly. NCBI's taxonomy places the organism in Eukaryota, Metazoa, Chordata, Actinopteri, Cichliformes, Cichlidae.